GAUGAAGAACGUAGCGAAAUGCGAUACGUAAUGUGAAUUGCAGAAUUCAGUGAAUCAUCGAGUCUUUGAACGCACAUUGCGCCCGCCAGUAUUCUGGCGGGCAUGCCUGUCUGAGCGUCAUUUCAACCCUCACGCCCCUAGGGCGUGGUGUUGGGGAUCGGCCAGCGCCCUCGCGGGCGAGGCCGUCCCCUAAAUCUAGUGGCGGACCCGUCGUGGCCUCCCCUGCGAAGUAGUGAUAUUCCGCAUAGGAGAGCGACGAGCCCCUGCCGUUAAACCCCCAACUUUCUCAGGUUGACCUCAGAUCAGGUAGGAAUACCCGCUGAACUUAAGCAUAUCAAUAAGCGGAGGA
This 349-nucleotide unclassified non-coding RNA is filed under the name soil metagenome. RNAcentral's name for it is "partial contains 5.8S ribosomal RNA, internal transcribed spacer 2, and large subunit ribosomal RNA". The stretch from base 1 to 120 matches the Rfam family "5.8S ribosomal RNA", at positions 35 to 154 of the family's 154-position model. The record is from RNAcentral.